AUGUUGGAAGUAUUUAAAUCAUUUGAGUUUGUUUUCAUGCUGCACUUGAUGAAUGAAAUAUUUGGGUACACAAGUGACUUAAGCAAUGCUUUGCAAAAGAGGGAUCAAGAUAUUGUGAAUGCAGUUGAUCUUCUUGAGUUCACAAAGGUACAAUUGCAAGUUCUAAGAGAAGAUGAUGGCUGGAAAGAAUUCCUUGAGAAUGUCACUUCUUUUUGUGUGAAGCACAAUGUGAGAUGUGUUGACAUGGAUGGGAAGUACAAGCCUAUACAAAGAGCAAGAGUGUUCUAUAAAAAUGCCAUGAAUUACCAUCGGUUCCAUGCUGAUAUGUUUUUGGGUUUCAUUGAUAGGCAAUUUCAAGAGCUUAAGAACAGGUUUGAUGAGGUAAACACGGAGCUACUUAGAUGCAUGGCAUCAUUCAGUCCAGCCAAGUCAUUUUCUUCUUUUAAUAUUGAUGACCUGGUUAAGCUUGCUGGGUUCUAUCCUCAUGAUUUUGACUUUGAAGAAAUGCACCAACUUCCUUUUCAAUUGAAUCUCUAUAUUAGUGAUGUGAGGAAUGAUGAAAACUUCACAAACUUGAGAAGUCUAGCAGAGUUGUCUAUGAUGCUUGUUAGAACAGGGAGGGCUCUUCGGUAUGAUAUUGUUUACAAACUUCUCAAAUUGGUGCCAGUCCUUCCUGUUGCAACAGCCGGCAUUGAGAGGGUCAUUUCAUCAAUGAAAUAUAUAAAAAACAAGCUAAGAAGCAAGAUGGGGCAAAAAUACUUGAAUGAUUGCUUGGUCACAUUCAUUGAAAGGGAUUUCUUCUUGCAAGUUAAGGAUGAGGACAUUAUCACUCAUUUUCAAAGCAUCAAGGAUCGCAAAGUUAUCCUGUGA
This 870-nucleotide ribosomal RNA is filed under the name Triticum aestivum (bread wheat). RNAcentral's name for it is "partial small subunit ribosomal RNA". Lineage: Eukaryota; Viridiplantae; Streptophyta; Magnoliopsida; Poales; Poaceae. The record is from RNAcentral.